AGUAACAGUCGUAACAAGGUUUCCGUAGGUGAACCUGCGGAAGGAUCAUUAUUGGAAUGAAAUCUCUAGCAAGGGGCUGUUGCUGGGCACUAGCCAUGUGCACGCCUUUUUGUCUAUUUCU
RNAcentral lists this ribosomal RNA (121 nucleotides) under Amanita rubromarginata. RNAcentral describes it as "partial 18S ribosomal RNA". The stretch from base 1 to 51 matches the Rfam family "Eukaryotic small subunit ribosomal RNA", at positions 1781 to 1831 of the family's 1831-position model. Lineage: Eukaryota; Fungi; Basidiomycota; Agaricomycetes; Agaricales; Amanitaceae. The record is from RNAcentral.